GAAAUAAGCUGUAAUUAAGCUCUGCCAAACAGGCACAAUAUAUUCUAACAUUCCCCCUCAAACUCAAGGAGGAUAGUGACAAACCAACUUGAGUUUGAAAAGAGUAACAAAAACGUGAAAAUAAACUGACAAAUAAGAUAAAAGAGGAUAGGAGACAUUGUAUGGUCGUGUCGAACCGCUGUAGAAGAUACUGUAUGGUGGUGUCGAACCGUUAGAGAAGACACUGUAUGGCCGUGUCUAUAUAAACCGGAAUCAAUGUCGGGACAGUUUAUGAGGUCAUGCCGAAUCGAUGUAGAAGCUAAUCGGAAUCAAUGUCGGGACAGUUUACAGGGUCAUGCCGGACCGAUGUAAAAGCUAACCGGAAUCAAUGUCGGGACAGCUUACGGGUCAUGCCGGACCGAUGUAGAAAAUACACUGUAUGAUUGUGUAUAUAGGCUGCCCAAAAGAUAUACAUGUAUAUAUAUAUCGAGCCCUUAAAAGGCGCGCCCAAUUCAUCAAAAGUCGUGCCCGACAGAAAUCGUCGAGCGGCGAGCCAUCAAAAGUCGCGCCGAACACGCAGCGAUGCACGUGAUCGACAGAGCAUCAUGUCGUCCUCUUUGCCAUUGUCUAUAUAAACCGAGGCAGAGGUUAUGCAAACCAAACUAGUCUGAAACCUCUGAACAUCUUCGUUCUGAAACACUCUGCAACCAACCCUUUCUGACAUUACUAGUAUGAAAUUGCUGUUUCUCUGAAACACUCAGCAACCCAGAACAUGACCUCUUCUUCCCGUUCAGCAACCCAGAACAUGGCCUUUUCUUCCCGUGGUCUGCUCACCCUUUUUCCAGACCUCAACGAGUCCACAAGAGAGAUAACUGGUGCGGUUGCCCUUGAACCUCAACCAAGCGCCCCUGGUUUUGCUCCAUUGAACUUUCCUAUGAUGUCUAUGGAGCAAAUAAUGGCUGCUCAAUCUGAUAUUGAGGCCAACCAUUAUACAUUAAAGUCAUGUGUGGAGACCAUGACGGCGGUCACGAACUUGGCUCACCGGCUUCAGAAUAGGACCAGUGAGGUACAUCAGGUAAAUGCCCUUGAGUAGAGAGGGAGACUGAGAAGUGUGUUUUCAAACUGCCAAAAGGGAGAGAGAGAGAGUGGAUUGAGUAAAAAUAUUAAAAAUGUUUUCAUCAUAAAAAAAAAGAAGUGAGUGGGUGAUAUUAUAUUAAGAGGUUGGGUCCAUGGAGAGAGAAGUGAGGUCAGGUUAGAGUCUUAAAGGCGGUGACCUUCUCGGCGAUGAAGUCUCAACUGUUCAUGGGAGCACCGAAGGCUAACGACGCUGUAGAGUUCUACAAGGCCGCGUUUGAGAGAGAGAGAGAGAGAGCCUAUGAGAGGGAGCUUCAGUGGUGUUCAUCGCCAUGAGAGAGAAGAGACCCUCAUCCCUCAAAUUAAUGGUGUGUUUUGGUAGCAGCACGGCAAGGGGGAAACGCCGAUCGCCACCAUAGACCAGAGGAUGAAACGCCGAUUGCGACGGGAGCGCGGCGGAGGCGUGGAAGCUCGCCGACGAGACAAUUGGUGGUGAGCCUCGCCACGUGGAGUUGUAGUCGGAGCCACCACCGAUGGCGGCGACGAACAGUGAGGAGAGAGAGAAACCCGAUGAGGAGAUUGAGGAUGUAGAUUCCAAAGAUGGAAGAGCCACUGAGCCAUCAGUUGUCGAUGACAGUGCGAAAAAACCAACCACAGGAGCAACCAGUAAGUGAAUCUGUUGAAAAGGAGGCACAAGAGCCAUAGCCAGUGGAGGUUGUUGAGAAGGAACUCGAGGUGGAGCCAAAAGAUAGGGACUGAGUCAGAGAGGUGAGCGAGUAUCGGUGGAGAAGAUCCAGUCGGUUCGAGGUGGGUUGGUGGUGAUGGGUUGACUGGGUGAGUCAAGGACAACGACUCGAAGGAGUUGGGCGUGAAGGUGGUGCUGGUAAGUGGCGGUGAUGGUGGUGUUGGUCGUAGUUCGCCAUCGCCAUUUCUGUUAGAGAUAGAGAGAGAUUGUGGUUGUCUAGUUGGAGUCAAACUCAUGCAUGGAUCAUAAAUAGCCAUGUAAAAUGGCGGCCCACCGAUGUCAAUACAACCACCAUUUUUGCCAACCCUAUAACAGAUUGCAGCACUGUUGCGGUGUGAAAAGAGCUUGUGUGCAUGUUUUCCAAAGAAAUGCUCGCCCCCUCCAACCCGAGACAGAGAGAGAGAGACCAUGUAUGUAUAUCUUUGUUACCCCAUGAGAGAGGUUUUAGUGUUAUUAGUAUAAUAUAGCAAUAAUGUAAUAUUAGUGUGCAAUAUCUAGCUGUCCAGCUUUCCCACUAAUGAUAAUGUUUCUGCUUUCGAUGUGUGUUAGUUAGUAUCCUAUGUGUACCACCUUUCCUCUCUAUAAAUGAAUGUGUUGUAAAUCACUGAAUGAUCAAUCAAUUAAAUACAUACAAUUCUCUCUAUAUUUCUCUCCUUAUACAUUGAAUUUAACAUGGUAUCAGAGCUAUAAGAUUUAGGCCUAUAUUCCUUUCUUUCCGGCGGGCAGCCGGCCGGCAACCUUGCCUUCCCUGCCCGCUGUAGUUUUUCAACACGUACCACAAACACAUACCAGAAACUCUUCUUUCUUUGUUUCCUCAUCUUUAUCGUCACUAAUUUCAUUCUCUGUGGUCUUCUCUGUCCAGAGGUAGAUUGGGUAGCUAAUGAACUCAGAGUGCUUCUUCACAAGUUCCUUCAACUUGGACAUACUCCCUGCAUUGGAGUUGGCAGAUGCAUGUUCAUCCCCAUCAAAAUCAUCAACCAUUGAAUGUGUGUGUCCAGCGAUGCAAUCGGUUUUCCCAUUUUGCGUUGUCUCAACAUGUGCAGGGGAUGCCUUAUGAUGACUUCUUUUUUGGUCUCUCAUGCUUCACAGAUCUGAUCUCAUCUUCACUUGCAUCAUCAUCAACUGCAGCCAACCUGUAUUCAUUUCUUUUUGUGGACUUCAAUUUAGAUCCACCAUUACAGUAAAGUUUGUAGACCAGUAACUCUGUCGUCUUCCGCCACCACAACGGCUACAAGUGCGGCGAGUGGCUCCAGUCCGACAAGAUUUGGUCCGGCCGCCUCCGCGUCGUCUCUUGCAAGGACCGCUGCGACACCCGCCUUGAAGAUUCCUCCUCCGGCGAGCUCUUCGCCGUUUGCUUCGUCUUUCCCAGCCAGCGUGACACCUCCAUCCGCCGCCGCACUCACGCCGUGCCGGACUUGCUUUGGUGCUACUGCUUUCUGCUUCAUUAUGUUGCGCUCCAACAUGCUGCUCCACUACUCGAAGCUUGCUUCGCCAUGGCGAGUCGAAGUGAUGAAAACAUUUUUAAUCAACCCACUCCCUCUCUCUCUGGUCCCUUUCUCUCCACCAAACCCACUUUAAUCAUAUCAAUCAUUCCCCUUACUUUAAAACCAACCUCUCUCUCUCUCUCGACUAUGAUACAGAGAAGCACACGCACAUGAAAAAAAAUAAAAAAAUAAAUAAAAAAUAAAAAUAAAAA
This is a non-coding RNA of Camellia sinensis, 3494 nucleotides long. The record is from RefSeq and is a predicted model, not a curated record. NCBI's taxonomy places the organism in Eukaryota, Viridiplantae, Streptophyta, Magnoliopsida, Ericales, Theaceae.